AGGUCCAUUUGGCAGGAGAGACACCAUGAUCAUGAAAGUGGUUUUCCCAGGACGAACCUCAUCCAUUGUGCGUGCUGACCCCUGCAAUUUUCCCAGUGUGGGAAACUCGGCUGCAUGAUUUGUGGAUUAAAAAC
RNAcentral lists this small nuclear RNA (134 nucleotides) under Salvator merianae (Argentine black and white tegu). Its description in RNAcentral is "U1 spliceosomal RNA (ENSSMRG00000007034.1)". It matches the Rfam family "U1 spliceosomal RNA". From Rfam's summary of the family: U1 is a small nuclear RNA (snRNA) component of the spliceosome (involved in pre-mRNA splicing). Its 5' end forms complementary base pairs with the 5' splice junction, thus defining the 5' donor site of an intron. The record is from RNAcentral. Lineage: Eukaryota; Metazoa; Chordata; Lepidosauria; Squamata; Teiidae.